Molecule: ribosomal RNA, 209 nt
Filed under: uncultured bacterium
Lineage: Bacteria
Description: partial 16S ribosomal RNA
Rfam family: Bacterial small subunit ribosomal RNA
Source: RNAcentral
UACGUAGGGUGCAAGCGUUGUCCGGAAUUAUUGGGCGUAAAGAGCUCGUAGGCGGUCUGUCGCGUCUGCUGUGAAAACUCAGGGCUUAACCCUGAGCUUGCAGUGGGUACGGGCAGACUAGAGUGCGGUAGGGGAGACUGGAAUUCCGUGGUGUAGCGGUGAAAUGCGCAGAUAGUCAGGAGGAACACCGGUGGCCGAAGGCGGGUCUC